UGGGGAAUAUUGCACAAUGGGCGCAAGCCUGAUGCAGCAAUGCCGCGUGUGUGAAGAAGGCCUUCGGGUUGUAAAGCACUUUCAGCGGGGAGGAAGGCGAUAAGGCUAAUAACCGAAUCGACUGACGUUACCGGCAGAAGAAGCACGGGCUAACUCCGUGGCAGCAGCUGCGGUAAUACGGUGGGGGGAAGAGUUAAUCGGAAUUAUUGGGCGUAAAGGGCACGCAGGCGGUUUGUUAAGUCAGGUGGGAAAGCCCCGGGGUCAACCUGGGGAAUGCACCUGGAACUGGGGAGCUUGAGUGUAGGAGAGGGAGGUAGAAUUCCAGGUGUAGCGGUGAAAUGCGUAGAGAUCUGGAGGAAUACCGGUGGCGAAGGCGGCCCCCUGGACGAAGACUGACGCUCAGGUGCGAAAGCGUGGGGAGCAAACAGG
This 429-nucleotide ribosomal RNA is filed under the name Chloroflexota bacterium. RNAcentral describes it as "Chloroflexi bacterium partial 16S ribosomal RNA". It matches the Rfam family "Bacterial small subunit ribosomal RNA", at positions 355 to 776 of the family's 1533-position model. The record is from RNAcentral. Lineage: Bacteria; Bacillati; Chloroflexota.